Molecule: long non-coding RNA, 798 nt
Filed under: Manacus vitellinus (golden-collared manakin)
Lineage: Eukaryota; Metazoa; Chordata; Aves; Passeriformes; Pipridae
Description: lncRNA (ENSMVIG00005015663.1)
Source: RNAcentral
CAGCGUCUAAGCAGUGCUUCUGGGGAUCAUCCUGGCACCUCUGGUGCCGUGCUGAGAAACUUAGGCAGGUGCAGCUCUCUCGGCACCCAGCCAACUUCGGCCUCGUUACUGUGGCCGCUUAGCACGUGGCUGCCCACGGCUGUAGGGCUCACUCUUCUGCCGGCAGCCAUGGCAAGCCGUCCUGGAGAGAGGUAAGUGUUCGUGUCCCAGAGACUGCAACUCCCAGCCUUGCAGUUAAGCUCAAAGCCGCCGGGGCACGGCUAGGAAAGCCCAGCUAUGCAGGGCCCUAGGGGUGGCGGCGCUCUCCUCGCCCGAUGCCCCCCGCCCCGUUCCCAAGCGGACCAAUCUUCCGAGCGGGGCAGCCAGGCUGCCGCGGGGAGAUGGCGCCAGGUAGGGAGCCCGAGGACGGGGCCGGUGUUGUUGUCGCCGCAGGGCGAGGGCAGAAGGGCACGGCACGGCACGGCUGCUCCGCGCGCCCCCGCCCCAAGGCGGGAGUGGUGGUACGCGCCUCUUCCCCGCCUCCUCCCCAGCCUUGAACGAGGCGCUGGACGCUUUUCCCGGCGGGAGGAAGCGCACGAAAUAAAAACAAGUGUGUCCGCGCUGAGGGAGGGGGAUUUCUGCAUCCCCUCACCGACCGAGCCGCUGUGCCCUGUUGCGGAGCCGGGAAAGCGAGGCUGACAACAGGUUGUCUGGAGAGUUGGCUGGUGGACAAACUGAGGUAUGUUCAUUCCUCAGCAAUUCAACCUACUUUAUAUGCUGAUGUUUCUGAAGUAAUGUUUUGAACUUGGAAGAAGGUAA